RNAcentral lists this ribosomal RNA (464 nucleotides) under uncultured bacterium. Its description in RNAcentral is "partial 16S ribosomal RNA". It matches the Rfam family "Bacterial small subunit ribosomal RNA", at positions 28 to 507 of the family's 1533-position model. The record is from RNAcentral.
GACGAACGCUGGCGGCGUGCUUAACACAUGCAAGUCGAACGGAAAGGCCCUGCUUGCAGGGUACUCGAGUGGCGAACGGGUGAGUAACACGUGGGUGAUCUGCCCUGCACUUCGGGAUAAGCCUGGGAAACUGGGUCUAAUACCGGAUAGGAGCCAUUUUUAGUGUGAUGGUUGGAAAGUUUUUUCGGUGUAGGAUGAGCUCGCGGCCUAUCAGCUUGUUGGUGGGGUAAUGGCCUACCAAGGCGGCGACGGGUAGCCGGCCUGAGAGGGUGGACGGCCACAUUGGGACUGGGAUACGGCCCAGACUCCUACGGGAGGCAGCAGUGGGGAUAUUGCACAAUGGGCGCAAGCCUGAUGCAGCGACGCCGCGUGGGGGAUGACGGCCUUCGGGUUGUAAACUCCUUUCGCUAGGGACGAAGCUUUUUGUGACGGUACCUAGAUAAGAAGCACCGGCUAACUACGUG